This 1530-nucleotide long non-coding RNA is filed under the name Homo sapiens (human). RNAcentral's name for it is "HSALNT0189635". The record is from RNAcentral. Lineage: Eukaryota; Metazoa; Chordata; Mammalia; Primates; Hominidae.
CUUUAUCUCUUCCUUACUGUGUGCACACGAUUGCACUGGGAGUUGUCAAUAUAACAAGUGGAUAAAACAGCCUCUCCUCUCAAGAAGCUUAUAAACCAGUAGAGGAAAAAUAGCAGCUUCACUAUAUGUGGAAAUAGCGGCUUCACUCUUAGAGUCAAUUGUCAUAAUUCCCUAAACUAGAAAAGAAGAAGGCAAUGAUUCUUACAGGGGUAAUCUGUAAAGGCUUUAUCAGGAAAGAUUUUUGCUAGGCCCCGAAGGAUCGACACUGUUUCAGUAAGUGAAGAUAGAGGAGAGAGCACUCCAGGGAAAGGUGUUGCCAGGAGCAAAGCACCUGUCCGUGACCGUCUAUUGUUUGUGGAAACCCAGACACUGUGGGUCAAUGCUCCCUCUCAGGUUGUUUGCCAGCAGCUAAGGGAAGGUCUAGGUCCUUUCUUCCAGAGCUUCUGUUCAGGGCAGAUUGUGAUGAAGGGAACCACUUUGGUGACUGAUGGGGCUUAAGAUCUCUCUGCAAGGCUACUUUCAAGUGAAUUUACAAACCAAGGGUGCAAAAUACAGCAGGAAUCCAGAACAUAAAAGGGAAAAAAUGAGCUAUAGGAAGAAAGAAAGGCACUUUGGCUUCAGGAGAUGUACAGCAAUAGAAAUGAGUCAACAGGAGUGAUCAUCAUCCAAGAGAUCAUCAUCUCUUCCUCAUCCUCCCCCUUUUUCUCCUUAUCCUCAUUCUCUUAUCUUCAUUAUCAUUAUGAUCACUGGCUCAUACUGAGAUGCAUGAAAAGGAGAGAAGGAAGGAAAGAAGGAAGGUGCAAGAGAGGAGAGUCUCCUGAAUUGUCCCUGGAUCUGAAUACCAUCCUAGGUGGGGGAUUUAGCCUUUUUCACCAUCCCUACCUCUAUACCUCUGGACUCUUUUUAAGAUCUGUCAAUAUUCACACACAUCAAAAUAAGUGAGAUUGGGAGGAUAGAAUAGACCAUCUUUUACUUCUAACAUAUUUAAUGGUUUCUGUAAGAGUCAAGGAGCUGCUUUCAAAUCAGCUUGUUGGUGGGUAUAAAGGAAAAGAAUCAACUGGCUUUGGCCAAAGUAAUGAAAAGGUCAACCAGUUUUCUUUCACCUUUGUUCUCUUACUAAUCAUGGGAAGGACACAGAUGGCUCCAGUUUAACUUCCUCUGUUCUCACAGGUGCCGGUCCAUUAACUUCCAAGAGAAUCCCAUGAGUAUAUAGUAUGGUUUCAAAAGAAUGGAAGCUAGAAUAACACAAAUGUGAACUCUAGUCCCAAUUCUUCUAAUUCCUGGGUUGUUGAUCCCAAACACAUUAUAUAAAGUUAUCUGUUCUUCCAUUUCCUCUAAUAAAAUAAGGCUAACAUACAGGUUAUGUGAUUCUUGUAAGAGAAAAAUAUAAUAAAAAAUUUUAUAGCUGUAAAUGCUAUAAAACAUCUAUACAUUUAUUUCCUGUUUAUUCUUGGGUUUUCUUAUCUAAUCUAUUCACACACGUUUGCUUAUUCAAAAAUAAAAAUUAUUUCUCACAGAUGAAUAAUAAAA